ACUUGACCAUUGAUGGACACUUAGGUUGUUUCCAAAUCUUGGCUAUUGUAAAUACUGCUGCAAUAAAUGUGGGAGUAGGUAGAUAUCUUUUCAAUAUCCUGUUUUUCUUUCUUUUGGAUAUACACCCAGUAGUGGAAUUACUGGAUCAUCU
Ceratotherium simum simum (southern white rhinoceros) is the source of this 151-nucleotide non-coding RNA. NCBI's taxonomy places the organism in Eukaryota, Metazoa, Chordata, Mammalia, Perissodactyla, Rhinocerotidae. The record is from RefSeq and is a predicted model, not a curated record.